RNAcentral lists this ribosomal RNA (484 nucleotides) under uncultured bacterium. RNAcentral describes it as "partial 16S ribosomal RNA". It matches the Rfam family "Bacterial small subunit ribosomal RNA", at positions 29 to 507 of the family's 1533-position model. The record is from RNAcentral.
AGUGAACGCUGGCGGCAGGCCUAACACAUGCAAGUCGAGCGGCAGCGCGGGGGCAACCCUGGCGGCGAGCGGCGGACGGGUGAGGAAUUCGUCGGAAUCUGCCUUUUUGUGGGGGAUAACGUAGGGAAACUUACGCUAAUACCGCAUACGUCCUACGGGAGAAAGUGGGGGACCGCAAGGCCUCACGCAGAAAGAUGAGCCGACGACCGAUUAGCUAGUUGGUGGGGUAAAGGCCCACCAAGGCGACGAUCGGUAGCUGGUCUGAGAGGAUGAUCAGCCACACUGGGACUGAGACACGGCCCAGACUCCUACGGGAGGCAGCAGUGGGGAAUAUUGGACAAUGGGCGCAAGCCUGAUCCAGCCAUGCCGCGUGUGUGAAGAAGGCCUUCGGGUUGUAAAGCACUUUUGACCGGAAAGAAAUCCCUGGAGCUAAUACCUUCGGGGGAUGACGGUACCGGAAGAAUAAGCACCGGCUAACUUCGUG